GGGCAGAUCUGAUCGAGAGGGGUCAAAAUCCCUAGGGUGGCCUUCGAUCCCCUUCGGGCCUGGCAUCUCCAUCUCUCUCCCUCACCCCUCCUCCACCUCCGGCCUCCGCCACGGCCAGGCCGGCGUGGUGGUGCGCCUCCCCACCCAUCCAUAUAUCCAUCACCAGCGCCGCUCACCACCAGCGCCCAUCUCGCCUGCCAUACCCGCGCGCCUCCACCUGCUGCUGAUUCUCCUUGCCGCUCCCUUCGCCUACCUCGCUGUUGUUCUUCUUCCCGACGUCCUCCAUGCUGCCCUUCUGCUUCUCCUCUGCUUCCCCUCUCCUAGCGCCUCAACUAGCUGCUUCUUCUUCCCCAAACUUUGCUGCUGCUUCUUCCCUCUCCUCACGUCCCUGCUGCUGCACUUCUCCUCCUAACCUUGCUGCUGUUCAUCUCUGAACCCCCAACAUGCUGCUGCUCCUCUCCAACAACGACGCCGAUCUGCAGCACUCCCUCGUCACCAGCCUCAAGAAACGGAGCUGCUGAUCCUCUCCAACGACCCCUUGUUGAUCCUCUCCCACUUGGCUUCGCUGAUCAUCUUCGUCCCUGCUGCUCUCCUUCGCCCGCAACAUCUACAGCCCAGGAGACAACUCUGAAUCUCUCUUCUCUUACUGUAGUUUUCUGAAUUUUUGCUCUGGUUAUUCUGCAGCUUGUAGUCUGAAUCUCAGUUAACUGUUGAUGUGCCCGUGAGAAAACUAGGUGGUUCAACUUGUAAUAUUGUUCUGCUGCCUGUGAUGUUUGAGAUAGUUACAUCAUCUACUCUAUGCUACUGAUAAUAUGCUACUGAUAAUAUGUUCAGUUCGUACUUGUCAUGUGUUAAUUAGUAUUCUGCUACUGUAUGUGUGAGAUCCCUUAUGUGUUUGUUCCUUACUGCAGAAAUUUAUUCAGUUGUCCAUGUGUUAGCUCCAGUACAUGUGCUAUAUAAAUACAUGUGUGUUUUGUGAUGUAAACCAUGUCAGCUAGCUCACUGUGACAAAUUCAUGUUACUAUUUGUGAUUUUAUUUUGUAUUGAAAUUACUCUCUG
Molecule: ribosomal RNA, 1059 nt
Filed under: Triticum aestivum (bread wheat)
Lineage: Eukaryota; Viridiplantae; Streptophyta; Magnoliopsida; Poales; Poaceae
Description: partial small subunit ribosomal RNA
Source: RNAcentral